RNAcentral lists this ribosomal RNA (574 nucleotides) under uncultured Bacilli bacterium. RNAcentral describes it as "bacterial SSU rRNA". It matches the Rfam family "Bacterial small subunit ribosomal RNA", at positions 137 to 697 of the family's 1533-position model. The record is from RNAcentral. Lineage: Bacteria; Bacillati; Bacillota; Bacilli.
AAGGGGAUAACACUUGGAAACAGGUGCUAAUACCGUAUAACAAUCGAAACCGCAUGGUUUUGAUUUGAAAGGCGCUUUCGGGUGUCGCUGAUGGAUGGACCCGCGGUGCAUUAGCUAGUUGGUGAGGUAACGGCUCACCAAGGCCACGAUGCAUAGCCGACCUGAGAGGGUGAUCGGCCACAUUGGGACUGAGACACGGCCCAAACUCCUACGGGAGGCAGCAGUAGGGAAUCUUCGGCAAUGGACGAAAGUCUGACCGAGCAACGCCGCGUGAGUGAAGAAGGUUUUCGGAUCGUAAAACUCUGUUGUUAGAGAAGAACAAGGAUGAGAGUAACUGUUCAUCCCUUGACGGUAUCUAACCAGAAAGCCACGGCUAACUACGUGCCAGCAGCCGCGGUAAUACGUAGGUGGCAAGCGUUGUCCGGAUUUAUUGGGCGUAAAGCGAGCGCAGGCGGUUUCUUAAGUCUGAUGUGAAAGCCCCCGGCUCAACCGGGGAGGGUCAUUGGAAACUGGGAGACUUGAGUGCAGAAGAGGAGAGUGGAAUUCCAUGUGUAGCGGUGAAAUGCGUAGAUAU